UCGACCUGAGAUCGGACGAGAUUACCCGCUGAAUUUAAGCAUAUGACUAAGCGGAGGAGGAGAAACUAACAAGGAUUCCCUCAG
This 84-nucleotide ribosomal RNA is filed under the name Dendrobaena schmidti. Its description in RNAcentral is "partial large subunit ribosomal RNA". It matches the Rfam family "Eukaryotic large subunit ribosomal RNA", at positions 1 to 83 of the family's 3401-position model. The record is from RNAcentral. Lineage: Eukaryota; Metazoa; Annelida; Clitellata; Crassiclitellata; Lumbricidae.